CUCCAGACUCCUACGGGAGGCAGCAGUGGGGAAUAUUGCACAAUGGGGGAAACCCUGAUGCAGCGACGCCGCGUGAGCGAUGAAGUAUUUCGGUAUGUAAAGCUCUAUCAGCAGGGAAGAAGAUGACGGUACCUGACUAAGAAGCCCCGGCUAACUACGUGCCAGCAGCCGCGGUAAUACGUAGGGGGCAAGCGUUAUCCGGAUUUACUGGGUGUAAAGGGAGCGUAGACGGCGAUGCAAGCCAGAUGUGAAAGCCCGGGGCUCAACCCCGGGACUGCAUUUGGAACUGUGUGGCUGGAGUGUCGGAGAGGCAGGCGGAAUUCCUAGUGUAGCGGUGAAAUGCGUAGAUAUUAGGAGGAACACCGGCGGCGAAGGCGGCCUGCUGGACCGUAACUGACGUUGAGGCUCGAAAGCGUGGGGAGCAAACAGGAUUAGAUACCCGCGUA
This 446-nucleotide ribosomal RNA is filed under the name uncultured bacterium. Its description in RNAcentral is "bacterial SSU rRNA". It matches the Rfam family "Bacterial small subunit ribosomal RNA", at positions 329 to 792 of the family's 1533-position model. The record is from RNAcentral.